RNAcentral lists this ribosomal RNA (642 nucleotides) under uncultured bacterium. RNAcentral describes it as "bacterial SSU rRNA". It matches the Rfam family "Bacterial small subunit ribosomal RNA", at positions 232 to 883 of the family's 1533-position model. The record is from RNAcentral.
CGCGGCCUAUCAGCUUGUUGGUGGGGUAAUGGCCUACCAAGGCGACGACGGGUAGCCGGCCUGAGAGGGCGACCGGCCACACUGGGACUGAGACACGGCCCAGACUCCUACGGGAGGCAGCAGUGGGGUAUAUUGCACAAUGGGCGAAAGCCUGAUGCAGCGACGCCGCGUGAGGGAUGACGGCCUUCGGGUUGUAAACCUCUUUCAGCAGGGAAGAAGCUUUUGUGACGGUACCUGCAGAAGAAGCACCGGCUAACUACGUGCCAGCAGCCGCGGUAAUACGUAGGGUGCGAGCGUUGUCCGGAAUUAUUGGGCGUAAAGAGCUUGUAGGCGGUUUGUCGCGUCUGCCGUGAAAAUUCAGGGCUUAACCCUGGACGUGCAGUGGGUACGGGCAGACUAGAGUAUGGUAGGGGAGACUGGAAUUCCUGGUGUAGCGGUGGAAUGCGCAGAUAUCAGGAGGAACACCGAUGGCGAAGGCAGGUCUCUGGGCCAUUACUGACGCUGAGAAGCGAAAGCAUGGGGAGCGAACAGGAUUAGAUACCCUGGUAGUCCAUGCCGUAAACGUUGGGCGCUAGGCGUGGGUCUCAUUCCACGAGAUCCGUGUCGCAGCUAACGCAUUAAGCGCCCCGCCUGGGGGAGUAC